GGCUACAGUUCAGCGGAAGAGUGCUUGUCUAGUAAGCAAGAGAGCCUGGGUUCAAGUCUCAGUAUCACCA
This 70-nucleotide transfer RNA is filed under the name Rattus norvegicus (Norway rat). It matches the Rfam family "tRNA". From Rfam's summary of the family: Transfer RNA (tRNA) molecules are approximately 80 nucleotides in length. Their secondary structure includes four short double-helical elements and three loops (D, anti-codon, and T loops). The record is from Rfam by way of RNAcentral. Lineage: Eukaryota; Metazoa; Chordata; Mammalia; Rodentia; Muridae.